Molecule: transfer RNA, 83 nt
Filed under: Echinostoma caproni
Lineage: Eukaryota; Metazoa; Platyhelminthes; Trematoda; Plagiorchiida; Echinostomatidae
Rfam family: tRNA
About the family: Transfer RNA (tRNA) molecules are approximately 80 nucleotides in length. Their secondary structure includes four short double-helical elements and three loops (D, anti-codon, and T loops). Further hydrogen bonds mediate the characteristic L-shaped molecular structure. tRNAs have two regions of fundamental functional importance: the anti-codon, which is responsible for specific mRNA codon recognition, and the 3' end, to which the tRNAs corresponding amino acid is attached (by aminoacyl-tRNA synthetases). tRNAs cope with the degeneracy of the genetic code in two manners: having more than one tRNA (with a specific anti-codon) for a particular amino acid; and 'wobble' base-pairing, i.e. permitting non-standard base-pairing at the 3rd anti-codon position.
Source: Rfam by way of RNAcentral
GGCCUCGUAGUUCAGCUGGUAGAGCGUGCACUGUAUAAAAGCAUGGUGGCGUCCAUGCGUGGGUUCGAAUCCCACCGAGGCUA